GACGAACGCUGGCGGCGUGCCUAAUACAUGCAAGUUGAGCGCUGAAGGUUGGUACUUGUACCAACUGGAUGAGCAGCGAACGGGUGAGUAACGCGUGGGGAAUCUGCCUUUGAGCGGGGGACAACAUUUGGAAACGAAUGCUAAUACCGCAUAAAAACUUUAAACACAAGUUUUAAGUUUGAAAGAUGCAAUUGCAUCACUCAAAGAUGAUCCCGCGUUGUAUUAGCUAGUUGGUGAGGUAAAGGCUCACCAAGGCGAUGAUACAUAGCCGACCUGAGAGGGUGAUCGGCCACAUUGGGACUGAGACACGGCCCAAACUCCUACGGGAGGCAGCAGGAGGGAAUCUUCGGCAAUGGACGAAAGUCUGACCGAGCAACGCCGCGGGAGUGAAGAAGGUUUUCGGAUCGUAAAACUCUGUUGGUAGAGAAGAACGUUGGUGAGAGUGGAAAGCUCAUCAAGUGACGGUAACUACACAGAAAGGGACGGCUAACUACGUG
This 497-nucleotide ribosomal RNA is filed under the name uncultured bacterium. RNAcentral describes it as "partial 16S ribosomal RNA". It matches the Rfam family "Bacterial small subunit ribosomal RNA", at positions 28 to 507 of the family's 1533-position model. The record is from RNAcentral.